This 484-nucleotide ribosomal RNA is filed under the name uncultured bacterium. RNAcentral's name for it is "partial 16S ribosomal RNA". It matches the Rfam family "Bacterial small subunit ribosomal RNA", at positions 28 to 507 of the family's 1533-position model. The record is from RNAcentral.
AUUGAACGCUGGCGGCAUGCUUUACACAUGCAAGUCGAACGGCAGCGCGGGCUUCGGCCUGGCGGCGAGUGGCGAACGGGUGAGUAAUGCAUCGGAACGUGCCCAGUAGUGGGGGAUAGCCCGGCGAAAGCCGGAUUAAUACCGCAUACGACCUGAGGGUGAAAGCGGGGGACCGAAAGGCCUCGCGCUAUUGGAGCGGCCGAUGUCGGAUUAGCUAGUUGGUGGGGUAAAGGCUUACCAAGGCGACGAUCCGUAGCUGGUCUGAGAGGACGACCAGCCACACUGGGACUGAGACACGGCCCAGACUCCUACGGGAGGCAGCAGUGGGGAAUUUUGGACAAUGGGGGCAACCCUGAUCCAGCCAUGCCGCGUGCGGGAAGAAGGCCUUCGGGUUGUAAACCGCUUUUGUUCGGGAAGAAAUCCUCUGGGCUAAUACCCCGGGGGGAUGACGGUACCGGAAGAAUAAGCACCGGCUAACCACGUG